GUAGCUCAGGAGGUAGAGCGGUCAUCCAAUAACCGGAAGGUUGGCGGUUCGAUUCCCCCCUAAUCCAAGUCUGUCCGUUGUGUCCUUGGGCAAGACACUUAACCCACCUUGCUCCCAGUGUGUGUCCUCCACUGGUGUAUGAUUGUGAGUGUUGUGUGGUGGUGGUCGGAGAGGCCGUAGGCGCAGAAUGGCAGCCACGUUUCCGUCAGUCUGCCCCAGGGCAGCUGUGACUACUAAGGUAGUUUACCACCACCAAAAAAAAGUGUGACUGUGUGAGCGAAUGAAUGAUGUAUCCAAUGUAAAGCGCUUUGAGGGUCUCUGAUAAAGCGCUAUAUGAAAUCUGAUGCAUUA
This is a non-coding RNA of Xyrichtys novacula (pearly razorfish), 351 nucleotides long. Lineage: Eukaryota; Metazoa; Chordata; Actinopteri; Labriformes; Labridae. The record is from the annotation of a GenBank genome assembly.